This 195-nucleotide ribosomal RNA is filed under the name Picocystis salinarum. RNAcentral describes it as "partial Eukaryotic large subunit ribosomal RNA". It matches the Rfam family "Eukaryotic large subunit ribosomal RNA", at positions 1 to 196 of the family's 3401-position model. Lineage: Eukaryota; Viridiplantae; Chlorophyta; Picocystophyceae; Picocystales; Picocystaceae. The record is from RNAcentral.
GACCUCGGAUCAGGUAGGGAUACCCGCUGAACUUAAGCAUAUCAAUAAGCGGAGGAAAAGAAACCAACAGGGAUUGCCCUAGUAACGGCGAGUGAAGCGGCAACAGCUCAAAUUUGAAAUCUGGCCCUUUCAGGGUCCGAGUUGUAAUUUGUAGAGGAUGCUUUUGGGCAGCCACCGGUCUAAGUUCCUUGGAAC